CAACAUGCAUAGCAACCAGAGUAUCACGUGAAAAACAACAUGUAGCCAUUUAGGGGAAAUCCCUAUAGGCUUUUGAACCUGUAAAUAUGGUAGGACAAGAGAUGAGCUUCAAGAAAAUACCCGACUUAAGUCUUCAAGAUGAUCUACAAGGUUACUACGGCAGAGGAUAGCAUGGGAAGUGCUUUGGAUAGGCAGUGCUGUGGUGGAUUUGUAGAAGUUUUCCAGUACUUCACUUUUCUGUCACUGAAAGGAAAAGUUUCAUGGAUGCUUAUGAUACUUUUGCUCUCGAGGUUACAAUUUUUCUAGCACAGUUACAGGCUACUGAACCUGGUGUUAAGCUGUGUGUUAGUCUGUUGGAACAGUUACAGUAGUCAAGUGACUGAGUCAGGCUUAUUUCACUUUUAGUUCUCAUCACAGAUGUAACAGUGACUGUUACUAUGCUAGUCUACAUAAUUCAAUAGUGUGUGUCGAUGUGCUCUGUCUUUGUCAUUCAAGUAGCAGCUGUUAUUUAAACGAACUUGACAAUGUAUGUGUAUCUUAACUGUUUCUAGUGUGUGUAAAUAAUGUUGCAGUGUAUGCAGUCUACUUCCAAACUUCAUUCAACAACUCUACAGUGACUUUCAAGAUGCUGUAUUGCUUGAUAUAGGAUAUUUAGGCUAUACAAUCAAAUUCGAAACAUCGUCUGGUAUAGUGGUAUUGGGAUUUAAAAAAUUGUAACUAGAACAAAUGUUAUAUGGACGUGUAGCUCAACUCCUUAUGAAUCUGUUUCU
Amphimedon queenslandica is the source of this 770-nucleotide long non-coding RNA. RefSeq lists it as uncharacterized. Lineage: Eukaryota; Metazoa; Porifera; Demospongiae; Haplosclerida; Niphatidae. The record is from RefSeq and is a predicted model, not a curated record. The transcript is spliced from 3 exons.